AGCACCAGUUGAAGCUGUAGCUGUACCAGUUGAGGCUUCAGUACCUAGUGAAGUCUCCGCACCAGCUGAAUCUUCAGCACCCGUUGCUGCUGCUGCUGAGCCUUUAAUAGAUCCAGCGAUUGCUGUGGCAACUAUUCCAGUGAUGCCUCCAGUAUCUGCAGGUGAAGCCCAAGCUGAGCCUCAGCCUGCUGCUGAACAGGUCACAGAACCUGCUGCGGCCCCAGCUGAGAUUGCCCCACCAGCGGAGGCUCCAGCAUCCACACCAGUGGUUUCAGAAGCCUCAGUAGAAGUAGCCCCAGAAGCUCCACCAGCAACUGUUACUUCAGAGUCAGCGGCAGACACUGCAGCCCCAGUAGUUGAACCAACCCCAGCAGCCCCUGAACCCUCCACUGAAGUGGUGGACACAGAGAGCGAGAAAGCCAAAAAGGAGGACUGAGUUGGAAGAAGAGAUUCACCGAAAUAACAAAAAACCCCAAAACUACAAAUAUAAAGGCAACUGGAGGAAAAAGCAACAAAACAAACACUACAUUUUCAGUAUUGUCUUAUCAGCUCUCACCAAACCAUACACCACAUACAUUAAUACGCACAGUGCCUUAACACGUCAUUGAGAAAAGAUCAGGAUUCUUCCUACAUUUGUAAAUAUAAACCUUUACGAUUCGUUUUUCUACUGAGACCUUAAAGUGCCUGGAGCCACAUACUGCACGUGUAACAUCUGUACUGAAAGUACUAUGAAAACACACGGGACAGAUAACAUGAGACAAGAAGGGUGCAAUACUCUGUGAAAUCCGUGAACUCUUCAUGUAGAGGUUGUUAACUCAUCAGAGACUAGAGUGGCAGUACGUUGAAGUGUAGUCAAGGAUACGUGCAGGAAAAUCCUUAACUAUUUAAAGUAGCUGCUUCUAUGAGGAAUACAAGCCAAACACAACUGUGAAUGAAAUGAUGUAAAGAGCUUAAAGGAAACAGACACACCAAACAGCGUGAAUGAUAAACACAUAGAUAUUAUUUAAAAGAUCAUAAUUAUGACGUAGAAGUUUUAGUGUAAAUUCUGCCAUAAUACCACGUCUUCAUCUGGUGUUUACACAAUAUCUUAAGAGCAGCCUUUCUAAUA
Scomber japonicus (chub mackerel) is the source of this 1108-nucleotide long non-coding RNA. RefSeq lists it as uncharacterized. The record is from RefSeq and is a predicted model, not a curated record. The transcript has 3 exons. NCBI's taxonomy places the organism in Eukaryota, Metazoa, Chordata, Actinopteri, Scombriformes, Scombridae.